This 460-nucleotide ribosomal RNA is filed under the name uncultured bacterium. RNAcentral's name for it is "partial 16S ribosomal RNA". It matches the Rfam family "Bacterial small subunit ribosomal RNA", at positions 338 to 795 of the family's 1533-position model. The record is from RNAcentral.
CCUACGGGAGGCAGCAGUGAGGAAUAUUGGUCAAUGGACGCAAGUCUGAACCAGCCAUGCCGCGUGAAGGAUGACGGCUCUAUGAGUUGUAAACUGCUUUUGUACGAGGAUAAUAUCAGACACGUGUAUCUGCUUGCAAGUAUCGUACGAAUAAGGAUCGGCUAACUCCGUGCCAGCAGCCGCGGUAAUACGGAGGAUCCAAGCGUUAUCCGGAUUUAUUGGGUUUAAAGGGUGCGUAGGCGGUUUUAUAAGUUAGUGGUGAAAAUUUGGGGCUCAACUCCGGACGUGCCUCUGAUACUGGAAGACUAGAGAAUAGAUGAGGUAGGCGGAAUGUGUGGUGUAGCGGUGAAAUGCGUAGAGAUCACGCAGAACACCGAUUGCGAAGGCAGCUUACCAAACUGUAACUGACGUUGAGGCACGAAAGCGUGGGGAGCAAACAGGAUUAGAUACCCGAGUAGUC